AAGGAUAAAGAUAAAAACACGAUCCGGUUGGUAGUCCGGAUGUACAUUUUCAUGUAUCAGUAACCUUCCCCCCCAUGGGAUGUCCAUUCUUUAUCUGUGGUGU
This 103-nucleotide non-coding RNA is filed under the name Spirochaetota bacterium. Its description in RNAcentral is "Spirochaetes bacterium Azaaromatic sequence". It matches the Rfam family "azaaromatic riboswitch aptamer (yjdF RNA)". The record is from RNAcentral. Lineage: Bacteria; Pseudomonadati; Spirochaetota.